RNAcentral lists this ribosomal RNA (486 nucleotides) under uncultured bacterium. Its description in RNAcentral is "partial 16S ribosomal RNA". It matches the Rfam family "Bacterial small subunit ribosomal RNA", at positions 30 to 507 of the family's 1533-position model. The record is from RNAcentral.
AUUGAACGCUGGCGACAUGCCUUACACAUGCAAGUCGAACGGCAGCACGGGUGCUUGCACCUGGUGGCGAGUGGCGAACGGGUGAGUAGUACAUCGGAACAUGUCCUGUAGUGGGGGAUAGCCCGGCGAAAGCCGGAUUAAUACCGCAUACGAUCUACGGAUGAAAGCGGGGGACCUUCGGGCCUCGCGCUAUAGGGUUGGCCGAUGGCUGAUUAGCUAGUUGGUGGGGUAAAGGCCUACCAAGGCGACGAUCAGUAGCUGGUCUGAGAGGACGACCAGUCACACUGGGACUGAGACACGGCCCAGACUCCUACGGGAGGCAGCAGUGGGGAAUUUUGGACAAUGGGCGAAAGCCUGAUCCAGCAAUGCCGCGUGUGUGAAGAAGGCCUUCGGGUUGUAAAGCACUUUUGUCCGGAAAGAAAUCCUUGGCCCUAAUACGGUCGGGGGAUGACGGUACCGGAAGAAUAAGCACCGGCUAACUACGUG